Molecule: ribosomal RNA, 503 nt
Filed under: Streptomyces sp. E29
Lineage: Bacteria; Bacillati; Actinomycetota; Actinomycetes; Kitasatosporales; Streptomycetaceae
Description: bacterial SSU rRNA
Rfam family: Bacterial small subunit ribosomal RNA
Source: RNAcentral
ACAUGCAAGUCGAACGAUGAACCACUUCGGUGGGGAUUAGUGGCGAACGGGUGAGUAACACGUGGGCAAUCUGCCCUUCACUCUGGGACAAGCCCUGGAAACGGGGUCUAAUACCGGAUAACACUUCCACUCGCAUGGGUGGAGGUUAAAAGCUCCGGCGGUGAAGGAUGAGCCCGCGGCCUAUCAGCUUGUUGGUGAGGUAAUGGCUCACCAAGGCGACGACGGGUAGCCGGCCUGAGAGGGCGACCGGCCACACUGGGACUGAGACACGGCCCAGACUCCUACGGGAGGCAGCAGUGGGGAAUAUUGCACAAUGGGCGAAAGCCUGAUGCAGCGACGCCGCGUGAGGGAUGACGGCCUUCGGGUUGUAAACCUCUUUCAGCAGGGAAGAAGCGAAAGUGACGGUACCUGCAGAAGAAGCGCCGGCUAACUACGUGCCAGCAGCCGCGGUAAUACGUAGGGCGCAAGCGUUGUCCGGAAUUAUUGGGCGUAAAGAGCUCGUA